CAGCGAGAAAGCGUUGCCGCAGGCAACGACCCGAAGGGCGAAGCGCGCAGCGCUGAGUAAUCCUUCCCCCACCACCA
RNAcentral lists this small RNA (77 nucleotides) under Salmonella enterica. Its description in RNAcentral is "partial RtT sRNA". It matches the Rfam family "RtT RNA", at positions 55 to 130 of the family's 130-position model. From Rfam's summary of the family: This family represents a bacterial cis-regulatory element known as RtT RNA. The record is from RNAcentral. RNAcentral also lists the same sequence under 2 other names. Lineage: Bacteria; Pseudomonadati; Pseudomonadota; Gammaproteobacteria; Enterobacterales; Enterobacteriaceae.